Molecule: long non-coding RNA, 568 nt
Organism: Antechinus flavipes (yellow-footed antechinus)
Lineage: Eukaryota; Metazoa; Chordata; Mammalia; Dasyuromorphia; Dasyuridae
Exons: 3
Source: RefSeq, a predicted model, not a curated record
UCAUGUAAAGACAGAUUCCGUGGAAUGUGAGUAUAAUGCACGAGCAGACGAACUAUCCAAAAUACAAGGAAAGGCACUGCAAGUGAUCCCCACUAAAGGAUGAUGACCUAAUGUUAGGGAAAUGGAUCCACUCUGCUGCAGGACAUCUUGGAGCACUUGCCUCUUACAGUGCCAUCAACCUGGAAGCAAGAAUGCUCACUGGAGACUUCAGAAAGCUGAGCCCCUCCUCCCAGUAAUCAGUUUUCCAAACAGAAGAUUUGAAUUGGGAAAAUGAGGUUUGACUCCAUUCUUUUCCAUCUCUUUGGCCAAAGGCUGGGUUAAGAUCAAUGUGGCAGGCAAUCUUUUAUAUAUUGUUGGAGUUCCACUCCAGUGAAUACCGAGAAUGGGAAGAAUAUCUGAAGCCAGGUGGAAGAUGUGCUUUGCAAUCUCUAUUUAUUAACCUGAGUACCAGUAUUUAUAUACCUUUUAAACUAGUGUUACAGUAUUACCAGCCACCUUCAGGUAACAUCAUGUAUCUUCCAGCACAAUCCAUACUUUGACAUUUCAGUAUCCACCUUAACUAUCAAUA